This 381-nucleotide ribosomal RNA is filed under the name Triticum aestivum (bread wheat). Its description in RNAcentral is "partial small subunit ribosomal RNA". The record is from RNAcentral. Lineage: Eukaryota; Viridiplantae; Streptophyta; Magnoliopsida; Poales; Poaceae.
AUGGCGCGUGCCAGCAGCGACGCCCGGGCGGCUCUGUGCCUGGUGGCUCUUCUGGCCAUGUCGUCUCUCAUGUCCUUUCAGGCGGCCGGAAGAAACAUAGGUAAACUUCUCCUUCGCCCGCUAAAAACUUCAGUCGAUCUGUGUUUGCGCCAUACGAUGAGCUUGAAAGCUAACGGAGUGUGGCCGUCGUCGUGCACAGGUACAACCGGCGCCGAUCCGACCACGAACUGCAUACAUGCUUUAGGCUGCGCGCCGCCGCCGCCGGGCAAGCCUGACAUCGACAUCUUCUGCAGGGCUUACUGCUACCAGCGAGGCUACGACCUGUUGAAAAGCUAUUGCAAGCCGGACGGCGGCGGCACGUGCUGCUGCGUGAAGCCGUGA